RNAcentral lists this ribosomal RNA (253 nucleotides) under uncultured prokaryote. RNAcentral describes it as "partial 16S ribosomal RNA". It matches the Rfam family "Bacterial small subunit ribosomal RNA", at positions 525 to 777 of the family's 1533-position model. The record is from RNAcentral.
ACGUAGGGGGCUAGCGUUGCUCGGAAUGACUGGGCGUAAAGGGCGCGUAGGCGGCUUGGCAAGUCAGUGGUGAAAGCCCGAGGCUCAACUUCGGGUCGGCCACUGAUACUGCUAGGCUUGAGUCGACUAGAGGCAGAUGGAAUUCCGGGUGUAGCGGUGGAAUGCGUAGAGAUCCGGAAGAACACCGGUGGCGAAGGCGGUCUGCUGGGGUCGAACUGACGCUGAGGCGCGACAGCGUGGGGAGCAAACAGGA